This 487-nucleotide ribosomal RNA is filed under the name arsenite-oxidizing bacterium GM5. RNAcentral describes it as "bacterial SSU rRNA". It matches the Rfam family "Bacterial small subunit ribosomal RNA", at positions 13 to 493 of the family's 1533-position model. The record is from RNAcentral.
UUGAUCCUGGCUCAGAUUGAACGCUGGCGGCAUGCCUUACACAUGCAAGUCGAACGGCAGCACGGGAGCAAUCCUGGUGGCGAGUGGCGAACGGGUGAGUAAUAUAUCGGAACGUGCCCAGUCGUGGGGGAUAACGUAGAGAAAUUUACGCUAAUACCGCAUACGAUCUAAGGAUGAAAGCGGGGGACUCGCAAGAGCCUCGCGCGAUUGGAGCGGCUGAUAUCAGAUUAGGUUGUUGGUGAGGUAAAAGCUCACCAAGCCGACGAUCUGUAGCUGGUUUGAGAGAACGACCAGCCACACUGGGACUGAGACACGGCCCAGACUCCUACGGGAGGCAGCAGUGGGGAAUUUUGGACAAUGGGCGAAAGCCUGAUCCAGCAAUGCCGCGUGCAGGAAGAAGGCCUUCGGGUUGUAAACUGCUUUUGUACGGAACGAAAAGGUCUGCCUUAAUACGGCGGGCCCAUGACGGUACCGUAAGAAUAAGCAC